GGAGGAAAAGAAACCAACAGGGAUUGCCCUAGUAACGGCGAGUGAAGCGGCAACAGCUCAAAUUUGAAAUCUGGCUCUCGGGCCCGAGUUGUAAUUUGUAGAGGAUGCUUUUGGUGAGGUGCCUUCCGAGUUCCCUGGAACGGGACGCCAUAGAGGGUGAGAGCCCCGUCUGGUUGGACACCGAGCCUCUGUAAAGCUCCUUCGACGAGUCGAGUAGUUUGGGAAUGCUGCUCUAAAUGGGAGGUAUAUGUCUUCUAAAGCUAAAUAUUGGCCAGAGACCGAUAGCGCACAAGUAGAGUGAUCGAAAGAUGAAAAGCACUUUGAAAAGAGAGUUAAAAAGCACGUGAAAUUGUUGAAAGGGAAGCGCUUGUGACCAGACUUGGGCUUGGUUAAUCAUCCGGCGUUCUCGCCGGUGCACUUUUCCAGUCCAGGCCAGCAUCAGUUUGCCUUGGGGGAUAAAAGCUUCGGGAAUGUGGCUCCUCCGGGAGUGUUAUAGCCCGUUGCACAAUACCCUGGGGCGGACUGAGGUUCGCGCAUUCGCAAGGAUGCUGGCGUAAUGGUCAUCAGCGACC
Molecule: ribosomal RNA, 572 nt
Filed under: Fusarium lunatum
Lineage: Eukaryota; Fungi; Ascomycota; Sordariomycetes; Hypocreales; Nectriaceae
Description: eukaryotic LSU rRNA
Rfam family: Eukaryotic large subunit ribosomal RNA
Source: RNAcentral